GGUGCUGCAUGGUUGUCGUCAGCUCGUGCCGUGAGGUGUCGGUUAAGUCCCAUAACGAGCGCAACCCUACCUUUAGUUGCCAUCAGGUAAUGCUGGGGACUCUAAAGGAACUGCCUACGCAAGUAGUGAGGAAGGCGGGGAUGACGUCAAAUCAGCACGGCCCUUACGUCCAGGGCUACACACGUGCUACAAUGGCCGAUACAGAGGGCAGCUACCUGGUGACAGGAUGCAAAUCUCCAAAGUCGGUCUCAGUUCGGAUCGGAGUCUGCAACCCGACUCCGUGAAGUUGGAUUCGCUAGUAAUCGCGCAUCAGCCAUGGCGCGGUGAAUACGUUCCCGGGCCUU
RNAcentral lists this ribosomal RNA (344 nucleotides) under uncultured Sphingobacteriales bacterium. RNAcentral's name for it is "bacterial SSU rRNA". It matches the Rfam family "Bacterial small subunit ribosomal RNA", at positions 1037 to 1382 of the family's 1533-position model. Lineage: Bacteria; Pseudomonadati; Bacteroidota; Sphingobacteriia; Sphingobacteriales. The record is from RNAcentral.